This 463-nucleotide ribosomal RNA is filed under the name uncultured bacterium. RNAcentral's name for it is "partial 16S ribosomal RNA". It matches the Rfam family "Bacterial small subunit ribosomal RNA", at positions 339 to 795 of the family's 1533-position model. The record is from RNAcentral.
CUACGGGACGCUCCAGUGGGGAAUAUUGCACAAUGGGCGCAAGCCUGAUGCAGCCAUGCCGCGUGUAUGAAGAAGGCCUUCGGGUUGUAAAGUACUUUCAGCGGGGAGGAAGGGAGUAAAGUUAAUACCUUUGCUCAUUGACGUUACCCGCAGAAGAAGCACCGGCUAACUCCGUGCCAGCAGCCGCGGUAAUACGGAGGGUGCAAGCGUUAAUCGGAAUUACUGGGCGUAAAGCGCACGCAGGCGGUUUGUUAAGUCAGAUGUGAAAUCCCCGGGCUCAACCUGGGAACUGCAUCUGUACUGGCAAGCUUGAGACUCGUAGAGGGGGGUAGAAUUUCAGGUGUAGCGGUGAAAUGCGUAGAGAUCUGGAGGAAUACCGGUGGCGAAGGCGGCCCCCUGGACGAAGACUGACGCUCAGGUGCGAAAGCGUGGGGAGCAAACAGGAUUAGAUACCCCUGUAGUC